Columba livia (rock pigeon) is the source of this 16394-nucleotide long non-coding RNA. RefSeq lists it as uncharacterized. The transcript is spliced from 6 exons. Lineage: Eukaryota; Metazoa; Chordata; Aves; Columbiformes; Columbidae. The record is from RefSeq and is a predicted model, not a curated record.
UCAGAAAUGCAAAAGAAGCUAUGCUAAUGAUAUAUGAGUAAAUUAACAGAAGCAUAUUUAAUCUGAUAGCCAGAGAUGACAAAUUUUGUUCUACCUUUUUCAAAAUUAUCCUUUACGCAAUAAUUGUAAAUGCUCAAUUUGUUCUUCAUAAACUCUGCAUGAGGAAAAAGAUGCAUAGAAUAGGAAUGUAUCACCGGGGUCAGUGAAUCCAGUCCUAUACAGCUCCAUAGGAGACAGUUAAUCUAUAAAGGUCUAGGGAGCAAUCCUGCCUCAAGCCCACCCACUUCACAACAGACUACAUAAGCUGUACAUCCAGAGGGAACAAAAGCUGUAACCCCAAUGUGCUCUCCAUUAUGCAGUAUCAGGGAAAUAUGAGCGAUAUACCCCAUGGCCACAGUUCCUUCCUCAUAACUUAAAAGAAGGCUGACCACUUGAUUUUUUUUUUUUUUUUGACAAGAACUAUUAAAAAUGUUAAAAUUUCUUCCUAAAUACCCUUUGAAAUAUUUAAAAAUAUUUUUAAUUAGGUCUUUUUGCCCCCAUGACAAUGUUCUUCCCAUGAGUUGCCUGCAACACACUCCCACACUCUUCCUGUGUCCUUAGGAGUUAGCACACCUUUCAGCUGGCCUUUUGCCACACUCUUUGGUUCUGGCUUAGCCAGUCUCACACACUCAGUGUGAGCUUUACAUUUCCUUCCCCCUCCAUGUUCCUGCCUGUUGCAUGUAUAUCUCAAAUAUUUGCUACACAGCUGCUGUGGCCACUCUUCCUCGUUUGACACUGUGUAAGAGGUGGUUGGUUCUGUCCUCUGCUCUCCAGAUCCACCUGGCACUGGUGAUCCUGGUGGAGGAAGAGAGCUGUGAUGCCUGCAGCUCCGGGGGAGCGUUUUCUCCUUGGUGUCCCUUGGGAAAGCGCACGCCCUCCUGCUGCGUACAGCUUUGUCCUCCCCACCACAGCGUGACUCCAUGUACAGAUUUCUUCCAAAUGCAUCACCCAGGGUGUGGAGGAACAUGCCAGGAGUAAAGAGUUGCAGCCAUGCGCGUCAUUACUUCAGCAGCUGAGUUCACAGAGUGCGAUCAGCUAUCAGCAUUUCUUCUGCCCAUCUGUGGAUUGUUCACCAACAUGUUCCCUCCUUUCUGAGGAAGAGAAGUGUAAGGAAGGAGGAGGGUAACAGGGCAGGGAAGCUGCUGAGUUUAAGACUCAUGGUUAGUAUGCUGUACAGACAGACAAAUCAAUCGGCCCCUGCCCGGGCAUCUUAAUCAGAAGCGUGUGGUUCACUGCAGUGGUUAAGUGCUACCGUGCUGGUGAUGGCAUCUUCUUCAGAGACACUAUUGAUUGCUCUUCUCUCUCUUCUGAGAUUCCAGCUGUGUAGACAGCAUCAGGGUGAGUGCUGGUGGAGAAGUGCCCUCUUACAGUUCUCCAGGAUUAGGAUCGACAGUUUAAUUUCCCCGGGGGCAGGCAAGCUGCCAUCCUAGUUCAGCCAGACUGGUGUGGGAAAGAGGAAGAAGAGGACUGUUUGAAAGGUCCAUUGAUUAUCUGAAUAAGCCUGGUGUAAGGCGAAAGAUGAUGCGGUGCAAGAAUCAUGCAAACUGAGGAACUCAAUUGUGCAGCAGGAUUUGGCCCUUAUUUGCCUGAAGCUGACAGGAGAAUGAAUGUCUGAUGAAGACUGAAUCAGUUUAAAUGCAUAGUACAAAAGAGAUUAUUUCUAUAUAGACAAGGUGGAAAUAAGAGCCCACCCUGCUGCGGGACAUCUUUGUAAGCCGAAGAGUCUGCAGUGUGUUUCAAUGUGACCUCCCAUUCCACCUCAUUAUCUUCCACUUAUUAACCCUGAUCUAACUGUUAUUGAUAGCUUCAUUACUCUGCUUGGGACAGCUGUGGCGGUCUCACUGACCUUGCCCUGGGUGAUCAGAAACUCGUUUAAUACUCAACAUACUCCUUGCAAAAGUAUGCUAAGGGAAUAAUAUAUUCAGCAUGAGAAGCAGACGUGUUUUUGCAAGGAUUUCUUGUGGUGCUACUAAUUAUCUCAAGAGGUGCAUUGUACUCCACUAAAUAUGUUGAAAACUUGUCUAAAAUGCUCUUCGAGACAAAGGUUGUAAUAAGAACAAGAGAAUAAGCAUUGCUAAUCCUUGAUGCUACAUAGUGUUAUAUUGUGGGAAAGUGGCCCAGGAAAGCAAGACUAAAUGAAAAACUAAGGAUCUAAGAUUUUACUUGCUUAUAUGGAUCUCUCUUUCUAGCCUGCCUACCUCUUGGACAGUAUCAUUAGCUGCUUUCGGAACACACAUUGUCACAGAGCAUAAAAUUUCACCUCCCACCCUCAAACAUAGCCGAUUUAUUGACAAUGUGACAGCGCUUCUGUUCUAUAAGGACUGUAUAAUGACAAGGCUUGCACUCUAUCAGGACCAGAUCCUGAGCACUUCAUGUAUGUGGAGAAUAAUUAAUGCUCUUAGAAAAAAUGAACGAGAAUCAUGACUGUCCAGUUCUUCCCUGAAGACUGCAAUUUUAUGGUAUUCUGGCUUGUGCCAUUGAGGCUUAGAUUUUUACAUGGGAAGUUGGAACACUUAGGUUAUAAGAAAUAUUUCUGUAAGUUUAUAUUGAUUUAUUCAAACUUGUAUAGAUAUAUUCAUGUGUUAUAAAGUUAUAUCUUUUUGUGAUGAAAUGAGUUCAAAAGUUAAUUUUCUGUAGUAUUUCCAUCUUUUAUAUCUCUCAGUUUCAGCAAUCAAAAUAAUCAGCUUAUUUAUUAAUCACUGGUUUUAAUUCCCAGUUUCAGUGCAUUUGCAUGUAGCUCCACUACUUGUGUCAUAGGUACAAUGCAGGAAUAUUUAAUUGCUUUAAAAUGAGGUCAUUGAUGGAACUAAAACAGAUGUGUUUUCCAUCUGCUGACACAAACAUGCAUAUGAGUGUUUUGGUUUUAGAAAAAUAAUAGUUUUUUGAAAAUCUAGUUUCACAGUCAAACUAGGCUUUUUAAUCUUAACAGAGAUAAUACUCUUGGUGUGCUUGCUAAUUGGAUAUAAGAAGGCUGAGGUUUUCUGAAAACACAUGCUAAAUUGCAUAUGGCCACAUGAAAAAUACAGCACAUGUUCUUUGUUUCAGCGAUAAUUAACAUCAUCACUCCUUGUGUGGACAGGAAAUUUAUUAAAAAUAAGUCAUCUGUUUAACAAAUAUAGAAUGCAGGAGGUUGCAAAAUAAUACUUGGUUAAAAUGACAGGACCUCAGUUUUUCAGAAAAAGAUGUCCAAACAGUCUAUCCAAAAUGCGUGCCUAUGUCAUACGGAAAAUCUCUGUUGUUAAUUCUCCUUGGAUAAAGAAAAACCAGAUCGCACAAGAUGGAUCAGCAUUGGAAACAAUCCUAUGUUUCCUAUGGAAGUGUUCUUUAAUGGAUUUCUGAUUCUUUGGGUUUGGUUUGGUUUGGUUUUUACCUUCAGGUUUCAUGUCAUUGGUCACUGAUACUCUAUUUCUUUCUAACUUUUCUGGGUUUUCAGUAGUAUCUCUGUUGUAAUAGAUUAGCAGCUACUGAAUAUCUGAAGGUAGAAAAGUCAAAACAUGUUCUUCUUAGCACUGAAAUUUCUUUGAGGCCUUUACUUUCAGAGAUUUCUGUGUUUUAGAGACUGAUCUGAGGUAGAAAUACCCAGAUUUAGGUGAAACCAUAUUUAUAGUGGUAAGAUGUUACAGCCGGGCAGAGUUCAAUAGGUGCUGUCUCUAUUUAUACUGGGACUGAAUUUGUCCUUGAGAAUUCUCCUAGGAAGUAAGAGAGGAAAGGACAGUUAUCCCACAAAUGUGUUUGCCCUUUGGAAACACUGAAAAGACCAACUAUUAUUUCCUAUAGGUGUUACACUGACAUGUCCCAAGGGAUGUGCAAUCAUUUAGUUUGGAAAAGACCCUUUAGAUCACCGAGUCAAACCAUUAACAUAACACUGCCAAGUCCACCACUAAACCAUGUCCCUAAGCACCAUGUCUAUACAUCUUUCAAAUACCUCCAGGUACGGUGGCUCCACCACUUCCCUGAGCAGCCUGUUCCAAAGCUUGAUAACCUUUUCAGUAAAGGAAUUUUUCCUAAUAUCAAGUCUAAACCUCCCUGGUGCAACUUGAGGAUGUUUCCACUCAUCAUCACUUGCUACUCAGGAGAAGAGACCAACAUCCAGUUUGCUACAACCUCCUUUCAGGUCCUCUUCCUCCCCUCUGAUCACCACGGGCUGCUCAGGAUGGCACUGUUCCAGUCCUUUUGCUAUUCAGCCUCCAGCUCAGUUGUCUGGAGUGUUCCUGCUUUACUUCUGGUGCCACAGAACCCUGAGUUCUGAGUGUUUUCUUUUUGGGCUUGAUUCUCUGUGGUACCAGUGUGAACUAGGGAACUCCGGAUGUUUCUGGCACUAAGGACCAUCUUAUUUCACCAGUGCAACUAGAGGAAAAAGGAACAGAAUCUAAAUCUGUCCAAACACAUCACUGAAGUAGAGAACUGCAGUAAAGAACAAACACCUGGUAGUGCCCUCAUCAGGCCUUAUUUCAUGAGAACAGCUGGACUUUUGCCUGAGCAAGGAUUGCAUCAUGACAUUGACAGCAUGGAAACAGGAGAUGGCCUUUUUCCAGGGAUGCUCCAGAAUCUGUGGAAUCACAAUCCAGUCGUUUAAGCGGUCUGUCAUUGUGAAAAUCUGUGUUAAAUCUUUUAUGAGUUAAGAAUUUCAUUAAAAGACAAAAGAGAAUGUCUUUUUAUGUGAGAUUUUUAGCAAGGAUGUUGCCAUGGAAUCCAUGUGUAAUGCUGGAGAUAAGGAGUAUACAUUAUUUGCUUUGGCCAGGAAGGAUCAUUCAGUCCAGCCUUGCGUAUAUGGUCCAAUUAGACUCACACAGUUUUUCUUGUAUUGAAUCUAGCACCUUAUGCUGGACUGAAGUUUAUCAACUCAAAAUGUUUGUCAAGAAACAUACCUGUUCCUUGUUUGGGUAGUUCACUUGAAGAUUUUUUUCAUCCUCACUGUUUAAAAAUGGUUGUUAUUGUGUUAAUUUUAGUUUGAUUUUAAUUUCCAGGAAUUGCUUCUUCAUUUGUCUUUCUGAAUUAGACUGAAAGAGUCCUAUAGGAGAAAGUACUAUCUUCCUUGAGAAAUCUGUGUGAAACUCUUAAUAUUUUAGUCAUAAAAGUGGUUAAUACAUUUAGUUUCAUUUAGAAUUGCACUGAAAACCUUUUUCCCUUGAUCUAGAAGUGUUUUCUUAAUUCUUGUCUGUGUCCUUAGCUUCUCAGGGAAACCUAUCUUUUUUACAAAUACUGUGGAACAACAGACAAGUAUUGUUGCACUGAAAAAGAAAUAAAGACUUCAACUUUAUUUAGAGAAAAACACACUAUUCCAAAAAUGUUUAAGCCUGGCUUACCCUUAGUGAUUCAGUGAGGGAAAGAAAACCACUACAGUCUGUACAUCUUAAAGGAUAGCUGGAAGUGCAGUGUACAUUUCUUCUGUGUAAUAGCAAACUACUGGCCAAAGUAUUUUGAGUGCCUUGCACUUGAAGAUCCCAAGUGAUUUACCUAUACUAUUAAGUAGGAUUUGCAGCACUGUGUUGACAAAGAUAAAGUAGUGUCCUCUUUCUGCAGAGGAGAAAAGAGGCAAAGCCCUAGUGACAUGAAGAUGCUGAAGUGAGUCUGAAGAAAAACUGAACCCAGAAGCCCCAAAGCUCAGGUUCCUGAGUUUCCUGGUUGAUGCCCAGUAAAAAUUAACUGAUCAUGGGUUUGAAGAAUACUGCAUGACAUUUUUUCUUGAAAAAAUCAUAGUCAUUUAGUUUGGAAAAGACCCUUAAGAUCAUUAAGUUCAACCAUAAACCCCAAAAAUGUUGCUUUGUGUUAAAUAUAGAAUUAUCAUACUAGCUGCAAGAUCUUCUCAUGUAAGUGAAAAGAGGUGCAAAAGUGCUACAGUUCUAUUCAGCAUAAUUUCAAGUUUAAAUCCUAUUACUUUUCUUAGCACAAGUCUGUUCUUGGUGGUAGGUGUAAUUGAUCAUUAAUGCAAGACACACUGCUGUUAGGCAGAAAGGCAAUUCAUCUCAGGUUAGCUUCUGUAUUUCAAAGCUAUAAAAUACUUCAAGUAAGAUGAAAAUGAUGUGUUUAAAAAUCCCACGCUGUGAAUCACUGAUCAUUGCCAUACUUUCUCCAUUUGCAAGGGUGAAGGAGAUUAUUUAUUUUUAAGAACAUUCAAAGAUAUCAGCUGUGAUGAAAUAGCCAUCUUGUGCUUUGAAAGGAAACAUGGGACAGCUGAUGUUCUAUCACAUCUGAAAGGUACGGAGGUGCCAAGUCAAAAGACCAGUAAUUAGCAUUUAUACACACAGCAGGGUGGCAGAUAGGAUAGGAGUAGCGGCUGAUGAGAAAAUGGUGGUUUGAGAAAGUAUCCAGAUUAACUGAAUUGUCCACACAAUGAUAAGUAUCAACAAACCACAUAGGUACAGUAGGGAUGUGCAUGUCACAGAGAAUUUAUACCAAUGCAUACAAGCUCUUCUGUAGUGAUAAACCAAAUGUUCAACAGGUUUUAGCAGAGUGAAGUUUAUUUUGAUAAUUAAUUGUUACAGUAGGAUUCCGCAAAACAUCCUCUAUGCUGAUAAAUCUAUGCAACGUACAGAGUCACAACUAUUAUUUUUAUUUUGGAAACAAAUAAACGGAAAUACAGGGUAAAAUUCUCUAUCCCAAAUUGUAAGAAAAGAUCUGGAAUGGAAUCUAAGUUCUUAUCCUACACUUCCUCUCCUAAUGUAUUAGAGGAGUGGGAUAGUUUCAUUUCCUGAAGAAGCAGCAAUCGAACCAUUCUUAAUAUGAAUUGAUUCUCAAUGGAUUAAUCUGGUGUUAGAAUUUAAAUUGUGCUUGAUGUUGUUACCAGGAGUUACUGGAGACUUCUACUUUUUAUUUGAAUUUGCCCAGAUUCACAUUAAUUUAGACUAAGAAAGCAAAAUAUGAAAUUAUGACCAGCUAGCUUUAAACAGAUUUCAAAAGAAAACUGCAUAUCUGGGCAGAAGUUUUAAGAACCUUAGUAAACCCAGUGGAAAAAUGUUCUGUGUUUGUGUAUUUGAAAGUUAGACAAGUCCUGUCGCUUCGAGUUCACCAUUGCUGCUUCUCUGGCUUUGUGAACAGGAUUGACGUAACAACCAAAUGAGGGAUACUUCUUGCAGUGGGAGACAUGUCCUGGAGGGUUUUUUAAUAGCUGAAUUAGUUAUUGAAGUUACUAGGUAUAUGGCAAAGAUUCCUGGUCUCAUUCUCACUCUAUAGCUCUCUCAGAGCUAGGAUGUGAUUGUUUGCUGGACUUGAUUAUCAUAGGGAUUUUAGUAAGUAACCAGGUUACUUACAGUAUGGGUCUAAACAGCAGAGUAAAUGGUACAAGUAAUUGGUAGUUUUCACGCUGCAAAUUUUCCUAUUGAAAAGAAGUUUGUAAUUGAAUCAAGUUUUUCAUACAAAAGCAUCAGUUUCUGAGAGAUACUGAGGGGUUUUUGGGUAGGAAAUGUAAAAUUGUUGAAACUUAUGUGCCAGGUAUGAUUUUAAUCAAAAAACACUUGUUAUUUUGAUUCAGUAGAAAAAACAGCUUGAUUUCUUUGAUUUAAACAAUUUAAACCCCCACAAAACAAGAAUAAAAGUGACCAAAUAAAUCCAUCUUCUACAUAUAAAUGUAAAUAUGAAGUUAAAGGUUUCAUUUAGUUUUACUGAACGCCUAUGAAUUGUUUGAUAUUUCUUUUCUCACAAAUUUUUGUUGUUUUUCUUUUAACUUAAAACAAUGAACACAUUUUUUUCUUAAUUGAAUAGUCCGCAUAGUAUGAAAAAGCUUCAGUAUCUAGUGCUACCUUUUUGCAAGCGCCGGUGAGUUUAGAGAAAGGGAACCGAGAUUUGGGGGUUAUGUAUUCAGGUCAUUUUGAAACUUGUGCCACUUUGGAGAAAUCACCUUCAUUUCUUGUUCUUUAGCUCCCCAAACACAAAAGGGGAAUAAAUGCUUUCCUCCCUCAAGCAAAUGCAGAGAGCCUCAGAUGGAAACUACUGGAGAAGGACAACACACUGUGUAAAAUUAUUAGCUUUGUUAAUCCAGGCCAGCUCAUUUGUUUCUCACAGAGACUGUAACAGAACUGAAUUGCCCCUAUCUGCUAUUACUAUUUCCUCAGUGUUCUCCACUCUGUUUCCAAAUGGAACAAUUUUAGCUGUUGCUAAAGGGUUUAACACUCUUGAUUUGUGGCAACAACUCCCACAAAGUUGCAUUGUGGCCACUGAAGUGAUUAUUCUGAAUGAGCAAAAAAAGGCAACCUGACUGGCAAUUGCAUUCCACUGCCUGCCCCUCAGCCCGGCACCUGCUCUACUGACACACCGCUCCAUCCCAGAGAGCCGUAUUCCUUAGUAAGGGCCAUUGAAGCAUUUAGUGGAGCUCUUUACAUUGAAACAGCUUUGUCUGCUCCUAUCUAUCCUUUAGGCUUCUUUUGCUGAAGAUAAGUCCUUUAAAAGGUUGUAGUUUUGCGAUGACUCCACUCAGUGAAGCUCUCCUUGCUUCCCUGGGUAGCUUUGCUGCCGCUCACUUGCAGAAGGGAAAAGUAUCCAAUAAAGCAAUUUUGUAGCUUUUUUUUCCUUUUAAAUAAAAACAUUGAGAAAGUUCAGCUAGUGGUUGCAUAUACUGACUAAUAUUAAAAGUAACCAAUUAUUUUGGCUUUAAUAGACUUUUUAAACUGUCAUAAAUACAACCCCUGAGCAUGGAGAAUGAGAUUGUUAGAGAAUCCCAGGAAACACAUGAAUUUGGAAUUAAACCCAAGUCACAGUGCAAAUAACACAUGGGUAAGAACAAUGGCAAUAAUAUACUCAAACGAAGCAUAAGCCAUUUCAUUAAAAAAAAGAUAAAAUUAAAGCAUUAAUUAUUGAAGAUCCACAUAUCAGUUCACCUCUUUUCAGACUUCUGGGCAGCAUGAUUAAGCUAAGAGCUGAAUCUUGUUGUGGGAAAAAAAAUGAGUCCAUGCUAACAAGAAAGCAAGGAACCUUCUCAUUUAACUCUUUCUACCUCAAGGACCUGGAUGAGUUAGUAAAGAAGCUUAACGUCUCUGGACUUAGAGAUUGCAGUCCAUCAGUGUGUAAAAGUCCCAGUGGCAAAGUCCUAUACAGUCAAACUCCUUUUUCUGUUCAAGGUUAUGAAUAUUUUUCCACUGAAUUUUAGCUUUUGGAAUUUCUUUCAACCUAUAUAAAUAACGAUCCACUUUUAUUUCUCACUGUUUAGCUUCUGAACAUCACCAGUCUCUGAAUCCUGGCUGCACCAAACUUUCUCUUCUUGUUGUGAUACACAGAACUCUUGUGGGCUUCCAAAUUAUUGAUUCUAGACUUUGAAGGCUCAGUCCUGAUCCUUUUAAAAUUGACUUAAUUGUAUUGUCAGUGAGGGCUUACUUUAAGUUGGAAGAAAUAUCCUAUUAAAUAUGCAGGGGUAAACUACCUCUGUAUUUCUUUCCUUUUAGGUUUGAGUCUUAUUUCUUUAAAGACUACUGGCUGUUAAACUGUAUUCAGUAGUAGUUCCAUUUUUACAGGGGUAAGGGUAGGAUAUAGUUUCAGCCCGAGCCUUCCAGUCAAGGAAGUUCAGAACCUGACUAGCAUACUCCAGUUCCCUUUUUUUUGGUUACAUCUCCUGCUGUUGUCCAAAGUGUUAGAGUCUGCUUUACACAGAAGAAAGACAUCCUGUCCAAAACAUUCUGAAAACAUCUACGGAAUUUUUUUUACUGUGUAAUAAAUGCUGUUUUUACUAUACAUCACUGCUGAGUGGUGCUAAUACAUAUAAUCCAAACAAAAAAAAAAAUUGAUUUUUGACAUCUAUGUUUCCUUGUGCUUCUUGAAUGAUGAAUACUUUUUAAAAAUUUUCAUUUAAAAAUAUGUGCCAAAGUGAAUAUACAGGCUCAUAACAGUCUAUUAGCUUUUGCAUCAAUAUCAUAGUUUUCCAACAGGACUGAAAUUCAAUUUAUAUUUAAGACACCAAGCAAAUUAUAUAGUAUGGUGAUAGGCCAAUUUUUUCCUUAAUACAAUGUUUACAAAGUCCGUGAUGUUACUCAGGGGAUAAAUUUAGGGGAUAAAGCCAGUUCUUUCUCUGGUAUAAAUCAGCCUGCCACCUCUAGUGGCAAAUAAAAGCAGGUUUUGCUAUAUCAUCAUUUAUGGAAAUAACCGGGGAGGUAGUAUAGAGGGGAAAAAGAUCUCUCUUUUUAUGGGAUCCAAGUCUUUAAAAACACAUAAUGAGCCCAUUACAUGCUUGAAAUAGCUGAAGAAGAUACCGGUCAGCUGUUACUUGUCUCAGAUAUGUGUAGCAGCCAACUCCUUCUGGUUAAACCCUUAUCAAAAGCCAAUGGGAACCUACAUAUUUUCUCUCCAUUUAAACUAAUUGAUUUUCACAUUUGGAUCUAAUUGCAAGCCAUAAAACCCAUAGAUAACAUGGAAACAUUAUUCUAUGAUUCUAUGGCCAGUUUUGGCUUUAAGGAAACAACUGGGGCUUCCACUUACUGCAUAGACACAGAGGCAAUUAUUUUUCCAUUCUCCUUCCGGUAGUCACUUAUCUCUACUAACUGCUUAAAAUUCAAGAAUGCCACAGUGUUUACUAGUAAUGUUUAAGCCAACCUAUAGUAAACAUGGGCUUGAAUUUACACUCUGAAGCCUAGGAGAUCAGAUCAACCUGGGGAAAUCUGAAAACUUCAUUUAAUUCUGUAGCUUUAACUUGUCCUAAAUUCAUAACAAGAGCUGGGCUAUAUUUCUGACUGCGAUUCAUGUUUUGCCAGAUGGGUACAAGCCAUCAUUUGCCAAGAGAGGCAGAGCAUGUUUCAUCGUGAAAUUCAGAAAAACACUCCAUGCUAAUACGUCAGAGUGCUUCCAACUGAAAAAUAGACAGGUUUGUGUCCGAGGUUUAUGCAGCAUUUCCUCUUUGGGUUAUCUGUUUAGAUCAAUAGAAGUGCUGAGACAGAUCAAGUGGAUCAUUUCCAUUUGAGUAUUAUGAAAUAAAUGUUUAGAUUAUCCUCAAGAGACUAUUCAGUUUAUUGACAUGUAAUGUUAUCUCCAAGUAGGAAUCUGUGCAUGCUCACAGGCCAGGAAAGAGAUUCCCUUCACAUCGCCUUUGGCUGGUGACACUGGUUCUACAGUAUACAAAAGCUGUUGCUUUCUAGAGUUGUUAAUCUAUGGAACUAAAUCAUUCACAGAUAAAAGGAUUGAAAAAGUUAUUUUUGGCACUGUCUCUAUAGUGGCCCAGAGAAUAGAACUCACUGUUGUCUUGUGUAUUUUUACAGAACAAUGCAAAAUAGUUUAGAUAACAAACCUGGCUCAGAUUUGUGCCUCUCUAUAAGUUUUAGCUCUUCUAUGCUGCUUGUUCAGCAGUUGCCUUUCUUUAUAACUGGGUUUUGGCAAAGAAAUUGCAUCAAGUUCACACAUGUUAAAAAAAAGCUCAGAAAAAAACCAAACAACAAAACAAAAUCAAAAUUUUCCACUUAAAUUUGAGAAGAAACUUCUUCUCAGUAAGGGUGACAGAGCACUGGAACAGGCUGCCCAGGUAGGUUGUGGAGUCUCCUUCUCUGGAGACAUUCAAUACCCGCCUGGACAUGUUCCUGUGCGACCUCACCUAGGCGUUCCUGCUCCAGCAGGGGAAUUGGACUAGAUGAUCUUUUGAGGUCCCUUCCAAUCCCAAACAUACUGUGAUACUGUGAACACUGUGAAAAUCUUUGCUUUUCGGUUUGUGAAUCGAAAUCCGAUCAUAAAGAAGGCUAUUCCUUGAACCAAUGACGCCUCACAGUAACUUAGAAGAAGCUCUUGGAUAUGUCUAUAUGCAGUCUGUCCCUUGUGGAGCUUUGCAUGAAAACAUUUGUCAUUUCAUUUCACAUAAUUAUACAUCAAUGAAAUGUGAAAAUGCCAACAGUUGUUCCAUAUUUUUUGGCACCUCAGCUGACUCAUAAGGCACUGCUUUCCUUUGAUAUCAUUAUUAGGAAAAAAGAAAUGUGAGAAAUGAAGUAGAACUUCAGCAUUAGAAUUUCAGAUGUUGGAUUUUCAAUGUUUGCUCUGAAAAGCAAUGUUAGUUAAGAAGCUUUAUAGCAACACUGAAUCCUCAACACAUAACUGUGCAUUUUUUCCCUUUUUGUCCUUCCCUGAUUCUGUUGGGGCCUAGCCACUAUAAUGUAUAUUUUCAGGAUUUUCAGGAAAACCCAAUGAGUGAUCAUUUUUGGCACAUGGAAUUGACAGUAAAGACACUUUCACUGUGAUUCAGAAGAGCCAGGAGCUGCAAACUGACUGGGACAUUGCAUUUUUCCAUAGUCUUUCACAUUGGAACAACUACUAUCCUAAACACCAUCCUUUCUGCUUCUCUUUGUGCUUCAUCUGAGAAACAAAAAUACAGAGUGAACAACCCACUUAUGGGAAAUGCUUAGAAGGAAUGCAAAGUCCAAGCAGAGGUUCCUGUUCCUUCAGUGCUUUAUCACCUUUUUGUUCACUGUACUUUCUUUUCUGAAUGCCUGAUUAGAAUUCUGUCCUCUGUACAGCAAGGUUUGGAUUGUAGUGGAACAGCUCCUUUACCUCAUAAGUUUUGGUCUCCACCUGAAGGAUAGCCUGUGGCUUUCCAAAUUGUGUGGUAUAAUGGGAGCAGAUAUAGGUUUCAUUUGAACUUGUUUACUGGCUGAUGCUGUGGAAAAACUGAAUGGCACAAAGUGUCUGUUGUCAGGGAGAGAUAAAACAUGUGCUGUGAUUUAAAGAGAGAUUGCUCAGAGGUACUUUGGCCAGAAGGUGCCUGGGAGACAUGGCAGUUACUUUGGGCCUUGAUUCCUUAUUAUUUUUAUAGUGCUAGUGACUGUUAUUGACAUGUGGCCAUGAUGGUGCUGAAUUAAGCAAGCAGCAGUUUUCUUCAGGCCCAAGCAGCUGCCAGUUUUUCUAGUUUAAUAUGCAUUCGUCUUUGCUAUAUUCAGAGGAACAUGUAAUGAAAAUCACUGUAUUAGUUAUGAGCUGUCUUCAGUGAAGAAUUUCAAUUACUGUCAAUUACUGUGGUAGAGUGUCGGCUUCCUGCAGAGAAGGGGUACAGCAUGACACAUCAAAAUAACAAAUAUGUGACAGAUCCAUUUUAAUUGUCUUUCUUAUCUGUACUUAACCUCUAUCAUUGUAACAAAAAAAAAGGGGAAGAGAAGGGAAGAGAGGAGCUAACCUUUUCUUACAGAUAAUGGUGGAAGGUAAAGCAGAGGAUAGAAAAACAGCCAGCAGCUAUCAGCUUAUGAAACAGCAACGUCAGGGAGUCCCUCCAUGGACACCAGCUGGUGUGUGUUUGCUGUCCUGAUCAAAACAGUUUCCAUCUAAUAAUCUGAUUGGAUAUUUCCGUUGCUUGCCACUGCAUUAUUCAUCAGAUAAAGAGGACCAGAUGGUGAUCUUUUGUCAUAAGCAGGAUUUUGAAUGAGGUAGUUAUAGAAGUUUGGCCAGUGAUUUCCUGGACCCAUACAGGAGUGCCUCUAAGUUGCUCCCUCUAGAGCAGUAAGGACUGGUUUUUGUCGUGUUGAUCUGUCUCAACAUUUUUCAUCUUCUCUGCUCCAGAAUUAUCUUUGCCCAGGUAGGGUGAAAGGGUUUGUUAGUUAAAUAUUGUCAGUGGGGUUAUCUCCAGAUUUGCAAUCUGUCCAGCUCAAUUCCCUGCAGCUGUACAUUGCUGCACAAGUGUCUUUCCUGCCAAGUAUCUCUGGGGCAAUGACACAAGUCCUGAGCAUUUUUUUUGUAACACCUCCCAUAUUUCAGUACUCAAGAUCAAAACCAUGCUGAAUAUACAGAAAUAUGCUUGGUUUUGUUGGAUUCUAUAAAACAGGGUAAGUAAAGGUGGAAGUGUUUGAGAAAUCAGUAAUCAUUGAGUGGGGAUUAUUUUCCCUUAGAAAUAAAAAUGGCUAUGAAAGCAGUAGACUUUUCUAGCAUGUCAGAAUUAUAAUUACUGCAGCAAAAGGAGGCCCUAAUCACCUCUAAUCCAUCCCGUAUCUACCAAAUGUAAUUUGAAUUUUAGGUGUUGGUUCUGGCCAUCUGUACUGUGGGCAGAUGUAUUGGGUUUGCAUGGCAAGGUUUUGGUAGCAGCAGUUGCUACAGGGGUAGCUUCUGUGAGAAGCUACUAGAAUGUCCAGUCAGCUUCAGGACAGACCUGCUGCUGGCCAAGGCCAGGCCCAUCAGCAAUGGUGGCAGUGCCUCUGGGAUAACAUAUUUAAGAAGGGGGAAAAUAUGGUGAAAAGAGCAGCCAGAGAGAGGAGUGAGAAUAUGUGAAACAUCUCUGCAGACACCAAGGUCAGUGAAGGAGGAGGGCAGGAGGUGCUUCAGGCACUGGAGCAGAGAUUUCCCUGCAGCCCGUGGUGCAGCCCAUGGUGAGGCCGGCUGUCCCCUGCAGCCCAUGGAGGUCCGUGGUGGAGCAGAGAACCACCUGCAGCUUGGGGAGAACCCCACACCAGAGCAGGUGGGUGCCCAAAGGAGGCUACGACCACAUGGGAAGCCUGUGCUGGAGCAGGGUCCUGACAGGACCUGUGACCCCAUGGAGAGGAGCCCAGGCUGGAGCAGGUUUGCUGGAAGGACUUGUGACCCCAUGGGGGACCCAGGCUGGAGCAGUCUGUUCCUGAAGGACUGCACCUUGCUGGGAAGAACCCACACUGGACCAGUUCAUGAAGAACUGCAGCCUGUGGGAAGGACUCAUGUUGGACAAAUUCAUGGAGGACUGUCUCCCAUGGGAGAGACCCCACGCUGGAACAGGGCAAGAGUGUGAGGAGUGCUCCUCCUGAGGAGGAAGGAGCAGCAGAGACAACAUGUGAUGAACUGACCACAGCCCUGACUUCCAAUCGCCCUGCACCUCGGUGCGGGGAGGUAGAGAGUUUGGGAGUGAAGUUGAGCCUGGGAAGAAGGGAGGGGUGGGAGAAGGUGUUUUUAAGAUCUCAUUUUAUUUCCCAUUACCCUCCUCUGAUUUGAUUAAUAAUAAAUUAAACAAGUCAGUCUGUUUUGCUCAUGAUGGGAAUUGGUGAAUGAUCUCUCCCUGUCCUUAUCUUGACCCAUGAGCCUUUCAUUAUAUUUUCUCUCCCCUGCCCCACUGAGAAGGGGAGUGAUAGAGGAGCUUGGUGGGCACCUGGUGUCCAGCCAAGGCCAACGCACCUUAGCAGAGCAAGAUGAGCCUAGUGCUGUAUUUUGAGAUGUCUGAAAGGUGUGAAGCAAACAGUACCAAAAUGAAAAAGGAGCAUGGAACUUUGAAUGGUCUCUUGGGAUCUGACUCAUAAUUUCUGCUUGACAGUGGCCUUUCAUGGUAGUCUAAAUAUGUAACAUAAAUAUUCAUGAGCAAUCCUGAUGAAAGUUACCACACAAUUUUUCAGCUGUGUUUGUAAACUCUUCACCUGAUUCCUUAAAGAUGCUACUGGUAUUCUGUUAAUUUACAGGUCAUUUUAUUCAAUAUGAUGGAUUGGAUGUAACGUUUCAAGAUGUAAUAAUCGAGAUUUUUUUUUUUUUUUUUUAAUGCACCUGCAUUUGCCUCUGAGAUAUCACUCCUUUAAAGCCUUAGGGAGUUUCAGGGAAAUUUUUAACAAGAGCUUGGUUUUUAAGCACAGGAAAAAAUGCUAAUUAUUUAACAAAGGCUGGAUUAGGUAAGUCUACUUAUGUUUCAUGGAAACAUCUGGAGACUUUUUCCUAAUUGCUUUGAAUUACUACUUUCGAGUGAGAUGGACAAUUUCAGAGUCUUUCAAACCUAAAGGGGAUGUUCUUUUCUCUGAUGGAAAAAAAACCCUUGGCCUUUGCAUGUAAUGUGUGCAGCUCAUUGUGCUGUGCUUCCUUGGCUUCUCAGUUGGUCUCUCUUGCAAAAUUCUUGUCGUAUCUACAUUACCAGAAUGCUACUGUACCAUAGAACACUUUAUUAUGGGACUGGGUGGCUGUCUGUGCUAGAUAAAUUCCAAUUUCUCUGUCCAUGGUUGAUUGUGCCUCAUUUGGGAUGGUGUCUGUGUGUGACCACUAUUAUGAGGUGAAUUUUCCUUAGUGAUGUAUCCCAGAAAUAACAAGAUCUGUUCCUUGGCUUCCUCUCAGUUGCAAAUCUCCUGUACUCUCAUGCUGGUUUUGCAGCCUCUGUUUUUCAUUUUGCCUGGAAUUCAUGUUUCUGGUUUAGGAUUUCAUAAAUUGCCUACUUAGCUUGAGUUAACUGAAGCUGCUAAACCACAUCAAAUGACUCAAAGAUCACUCAUUGUCAAGUACAGGAUAUGUAGAAUGUUGUUUUUAUUAUCAUGUAUUCCUCUCAGGUACAGCACUCAAAGCUGUUUGAAUAUUUUCCAGUUUUCUGAAGUUCUGGAGAAUUUAAGCUGUUACAGAGCUUGGAGCUGUUCCUUGGUUCCUUCACAGUUUGUCUAGCUCCUGGCAACAUGCACUGUUCAGAAUGAUAUCUGAACAGAGAAUCUGACGUCUUCAAAGUAUCUCAGUAGUUUGACUUCAGUUCUGUUGCAAGUGAGACUUAA